This 253-nucleotide ribosomal RNA is filed under the name uncultured bacterium. RNAcentral's name for it is "partial 16S ribosomal RNA". It matches the Rfam family "Bacterial small subunit ribosomal RNA", at positions 524 to 776 of the family's 1533-position model. The record is from RNAcentral.
UACGUAGGUGGCAAGCGUUGUCCGGAUUUACUGGGCGUAAAGCGCGCGUAGGCGGACCUGCAAGUCGGGGGUGAAAGCCCGAGGCUCAACCUCGGAACUGCCUUCGAUACUGCGGGUCUCGAGUCCGGGAGAGGUGAGUGGAAUUCCUAGUGUAGAGGUGAAAUUCGUAGAGAUCCGGAGGAACACCAGUGGCGAAGGCGACACGCUGGGCCGUACCUGACGCUAAAGCGCGACAGCAUGGGGAGCAAACGGG